AACGAACGCUGGCGGCAUGCCUAACACAUGCAAGUCGAACGAGACCUUCGGGUCUAGUGGCGCACGGGUGCGUAACGCGUGGGAACCUGCCCUUAGGUUCGGAAUAACUCCCCGACAGGGGUGCUAAUACCGGAUAAUGUCUUCGGACCAAAGAUUUAUCGCCUUUGGAUGGGCCCGCGUUGGAUUAGCUAGUUGGUAGGGUAAAAGCCUACCAAGGCGACGAUCCAUAGCUGGUCUGAGAGGAUGAUCAGCCACACUGGGACUGAGACACGGCCCAGACUCCUACGGGAAGCAGCAGUGGGGAAUAUUGGACAAUGGGCGAAAGCCUGAUCCAGCAAUGCCGCGUGAGUGAUGGAGGCCUUAGGGUUGUAAAGCUCUUUUAACCGGGAUGAUAAUGACAGUACCGGGAGAAUAAGCUCCGGCUAACUCCGUG
Molecule: ribosomal RNA, 433 nt
Filed under: uncultured bacterium
Lineage: Bacteria
Description: partial 16S ribosomal RNA
Rfam family: Bacterial small subunit ribosomal RNA
Source: RNAcentral